RNAcentral lists this ribosomal RNA (502 nucleotides) under uncultured bacterium. RNAcentral describes it as "partial 16S ribosomal RNA". It matches the Rfam family "Bacterial small subunit ribosomal RNA", at positions 28 to 507 of the family's 1533-position model. The record is from RNAcentral.
GACGAACGCUGGCGGCGUGCCUAAUACAUGCAAGUCGAACGAACCGCGACUAGGUGCUUGCACUUGGUCAAGGUGAGUGGCGAACGGGUGAGUAACACGUGGGUAACCUACCUCAUAGUGGGGGAUAACAGUCGGAAACGACUGCUAAUACCGCAUAGGACAUAGGAUCACAUGAUUCUGUGAGGAAAGGUGGCGCAAGCUAUCGCUAAGAGAUGGACCCGCGGUGCAUUAGCUAGUUGGUAGGGUAAAGGCCUACCAAGGCGAUGAUGCAUAGCCGACCUGAGAGGGUGAUCGGCCACAUUGGGACUGAGACACGGCCCAAACUCCUACGGGAGGCAGCAGUAGGGAAUCUUCCGCAAUGGACGCAAGCCUGACGGAGCAACGCCGCGUGAGUGAAGAAGGUCUUCGGAUCGUAAAGCUCUGUUGUUAGAGAAGAACAGCGCAUAGAGUAACUGUUAUGCGUGUGACGGUAUCUAACCAGAAAGCCACGGCUAACUACGUG